GCCUACGGGGGGCAGCAGUAGGGAAUUUUCGUCAAUGGGCGCAAGCCUGAACGAGCAAUGCCGCGUGAACGAGGAAGGUCUUCGGAUCGUAAAGUUCUGUUGAAGGGGAAAAAGAGCGGAGAGAGGAAAUGGUCUCCGAUUGAUAUUACCCUUCGAGGAAGUCACGGCUAACUACGUGCCAGCAGCCGCGGUAAUACGUAGGUGGCGAGCGUUAUCCGGAAUGAUUGGGCGUAAAGGGUGCGUAGGCGGCCUGCUAAGUCUGGAGUGACAGGUACCGGCUCAACCGGUACAGGCUCUGGAAACUG
Molecule: ribosomal RNA, 305 nt
Filed under: uncultured bacterium
Lineage: Bacteria
Description: bacterial SSU rRNA
Rfam family: Bacterial small subunit ribosomal RNA
Source: RNAcentral